RNAcentral lists this ribosomal RNA (468 nucleotides) under uncultured bacterium. RNAcentral describes it as "partial 16S ribosomal RNA". It matches the Rfam family "Bacterial small subunit ribosomal RNA", at positions 28 to 507 of the family's 1533-position model. The record is from RNAcentral.
GACGAACGCUGGCGGCGUGCUUAACACAUGCAAGUCGAACGGAAAGGCCCUGCUUUUGUGGGGUGCUCGAGUGGCGAACGGGUGGGUAACACGUGAGUAACCUGCCCUUGACUUUGGGAUAACUUCAGGAAACUGGGGCUAAUACCGGAUCGUAGCUCCGGCUGCAUGGUGGGGGUUGGAUAGUUUCGGCGGUUGGAGAUGGACGCGCGGGUUAUCAGCUUGUUUGUGGGGUAGUGGCUUACCAAGGCGUAGACGGGUAGCCGACAUGGGAGGGGGAACAGCGACAUGGGGACUGAGAUACGCAGCAGACUGCUACGGGGGGCAGCAGGGGGGAGUAUUGCACAAUGGGCGGAAGCCUAAGGCAGAAACGCUGCGUGCGGGAUGACGGCCUUCGGGUUGUAAACCGCUUUCGCCUGUGACGAAGCGUGAGUGACGGUAAUGGGUAAAGAAGCACCGGCUAACUACGUG